Molecule: non-coding RNA, 943 nt
Organism: Prunus avium (sweet cherry)
Lineage: Eukaryota; Viridiplantae; Streptophyta; Magnoliopsida; Rosales; Rosaceae
Source: RefSeq, a predicted model, not a curated record
AAAAAUUUACAACGCUUGCUUUCGCUCCUUCUGGUUUCUUCCGGAUUCGAGUUCUUCCUGAUAAACCAGAUCGUCGUCUUCUCCUUAAUUUGAAUUGAGGUUUUUGAUUAUUCACUCUUCGUUCUCGCUACUGCGAUGUCUCAGAGAGCAGCAAAUGAAAUUUCCGUGGCUUCGUUUCCACGCUCACAGAGUUUCUGGCUGGGAUGAGUAUUUGGCGUUAAUGGUUUUUGUUCGAUCAGUGAGGUUGAUGGGCUGCAUUGGAUUAUAAUUAGUAUGACAGGAGAUAGGAAUCUUCCAUGAUGUUUGGAAUGUCCGUGAAAAGAAAUUCUAAAGUUUGUUUCACGGAACAUUUCAUACCAAAGCUGCUGGUACCUCUGCUGGAUGCAUUUACUAGUUGUUAAGAGCAGGUGACUGUAUCAUUCUACUGAUGGAACAGCAAGAACGCUAACCAAUGGCUCACUCCUAGCUGAAAUUCAAGGAUGUUACCUGCCACGCAUGGAGCAAUUGAUAACAACAUUUCACUGUUUGGUUCUCAACAGACCAAAAUUGGAGUAUUUGUUGGUUAGCGAUAUUUACCUUGACUUCUGAAGCAGGAUUCAACAGGUGAUGAUGUUCCUCCUUCAGUUUGUUAAAACGAUCGAUUACUGAUUUCAUGCUGAUAAGAAGAGCCAUGGCAUUAUGGUCAGUUGAUGCAAUGAUCACAUACUUCGCGAAAAUUUCUUAGGUUAUGAAAAUGCAGAUCAUAGUUAAUGUAAUGAAAUUAAACAAACACAUCCUAUCAAUAUACAUUAAAUUUGAUAGUAAUGAUUUCUACUCUAUUUCUCAGUUGGAUUUGUGUUAUAGUAGUGAUUGUAAUACUGAUACAAAUACACGACAGAGAUGUAGACGGUAAAUACUACCGAGUUUUUUGUAAAAAAAAAAUAAAAAUUGUUGAUUUGAUCUC